AAAAAGAAUAGAUUUGCCGUAGACAGUAGGUGCUUUAAGCUUAAUAUCCUACCGAGGUUUUAGAUAAAUUUUGAUGCUAAAGCUUUUGUAUGUCUAUAUGAUUACAAAAGCUUUU
RNAcentral lists this small RNA (115 nucleotides) under Paraclostridium bifermentans. RNAcentral's name for it is "Ribosomal protein L10 leader". It matches the Rfam family "Ribosomal protein L10 leader". From Rfam's summary of the family: This family is a putative r-protein leader autoregulatory structure found in B. subtilis and other low-GC Gram-positive bacteria. It is located in the 5' untranslated regions of mRNAs encoding ribosomal proteins L10 and L12 (rplJ-rplL). A Rho-independent transcription terminator structure that is probably involved in regulation is included at the 3' end. The record is from RNAcentral. RNAcentral also lists the same sequence under 1 other name. Lineage: Bacteria; Bacillati; Bacillota; Clostridia; Peptostreptococcales; Peptostreptococcaceae.